Long non-coding RNA from Haliotis rufescens (red abalone), 283 nucleotides. RefSeq lists it as uncharacterized. The transcript has 4 exons. The record is from RefSeq and is a predicted model, not a curated record. NCBI's taxonomy places the organism in Eukaryota, Metazoa, Mollusca, Gastropoda, Lepetellida, Haliotidae.
UACAUUCACUGAAAAGUCAAACUUCAAUGUCGACACUGGCUUCUGGGACUUUGGAUCACUAAGUAAACAUAUUCCAACUCCUCAGAGUUGCCCAAAAUACAGGGAAAAUAUCCACUUGCAUGAAAAAUGGUGCUUUUAGCACCAAACACAUGAAUCUGGUUUUGUCAGUAAUAUCUUGCUUUGUCCUGCACUACCAGAAAACUGUUCAUGUGGGGGCACCUUCCAUGAUGUACAAACACCAGAUGGCAUUAACCUACUACAGCAGCACAGGACAAAAACAACA